Molecule: ribosomal RNA, 254 nt
Filed under: uncultured bacterium
Lineage: Bacteria
Description: partial 16S ribosomal RNA
Rfam family: Bacterial small subunit ribosomal RNA
Source: RNAcentral
UACGGGGGAUGCAAGCGUUAUCCGGAUUUAUUGGGUUUAAAGGGUGCGUAGGCUGUGAGGUAAGUCAGCGGUGAAAUGCCCCCGCUCAACGGGGUGAAGUGCCAUUGAUACUGCCUUGCUGGAAUGCGGAUGCCGUGGGAGGAAUGUGUGGUGUAGCGGUGAAAUGCAUAGAUAUCACACAGAACACCGAUUGCGAAGGCAUCUCACGAACCCGCGAUUGACGCUGAUGCACGAAAGCGUGGGUAUCAAACAGG